This is a non-coding RNA of Psammomys obesus (fat sand rat), 336 nucleotides long. The record is from the annotation of a RefSeq genome assembly. Lineage: Eukaryota; Metazoa; Chordata; Mammalia; Rodentia; Muridae.
AUGGAGGCACAGACCCAGGCCUUCAUAUUCCUGCUCCUUUGGAUGUCUGGUGCUGAGGGGAACAUUUUGAUGACCCAGUCUUCUGAAUACAUGUCCACAUCUGUAGGAGACAGAAUCAUCCAAAUCUGCAAGUCCAGUCAGAGUGUGGGCAGUUCUGCAGCUUCUGUAACUUCGUACCAACAGAAAUCAGGGCAGCCUCCUAAACUGCUAAUAUAUGGUGCAUCCAAUAGAUACACUGGGGUCCCUGAUCGCUUCAGAGGCAGUGGAUCUGGGACAGAUUUCACUCUCACCAUCAGCAGUGUGCAGGCUGAAGACCUGGCAGUAUAUUACUGUUAG